AAGAACUUGCCUCUUAGACCGGGACAACAUCUGGAAACGGAUGCUAAUACCGGAUAUUAUGGUUUUUUCGCAUGGAGGAAUCAUGAAAGCUAGAUGCGCUAAGAGAGAGCUUUGCGUCCCAUUAGCUAGUUGGUGAGGUAACGGCCCACCAAGGCAAUGAUGGGUAGCCGGCCUGAGAGGGUGAACGGCCACAAGGGGACUGAGACACGGCCCUUACUC
RNAcentral lists this ribosomal RNA (219 nucleotides) under Fusobacterium necrophorum. RNAcentral describes it as "partial 16S ribosomal RNA". It matches the Rfam family "Bacterial small subunit ribosomal RNA", at positions 120 to 338 of the family's 1533-position model. Lineage: Bacteria; Fusobacteriati; Fusobacteriota; Fusobacteriia; Fusobacteriales; Fusobacteriaceae. The record is from RNAcentral.